GUACUGCAUGUCGACGUUCAAAGGCACUUACCUUGUGUGGCAUUUCAAAAAUCUUUCCAACAUGGUCGACGGUCCCUGCGACAGUGAAUACUUUCUUAAUGUUAAAAAUUUACUCAUGGUUAUUAACUUUUAUUGUGCGUGUCAUAUUUGUCAAACUUCAAAUGGAAAUCUGUCAAGCUAGCAAUCUGGUUAACUGGCAAGUGCCAGCAGGGCUAAGGUUAGCUAAGCGCCUGGUAGGUGAACUGGCUCGAGCUAACGUCAGAUAGUAUGAUUUGAAAAUGCUGGUGGUGGGGAAGUAAAGUUAGGUAGCGUUGAUGAUUCAUAAUCAGUUUAAAGUAAUUAAUGAAAGCUGGACAUUAAAUGCAGGUAAGCUCUGGGAGCGAGCGUGACAUGAAAGUGACUGAAGUCAGACAAGUGCGCACUGUCCCCUGAGGGUUCACGCGCUCAGGGAUUCGAUCUAGCAACCUUUCGGUUAUCGGCCAAACGCUCUAACCAGUAGGCUUCCUGCCGCCCAAAAGGUAAAGGUAAGCUUAGGUUGAAAUGACCUGAGAUGGACAACAUAACAUGUUUGUAUCAGUUGGAGUCAGUGUGGGGCUGCCUCAGUUCUGACAUAAUUGCUCUGAUUAAUUUAUUUUCUCUGCAGUCACUUUGUGUCAUGGUAUGUAGAACAUCUUUGUUCCUACGGGCUAUCAUCUACAAAAGUUAGCCUGUCUGUCCAAUUGCAAUCUGAGCUCAACGACACUGUCACCUUUUCUGCAUACAACAUUGAUGGCCAGCUGCUGUUGACCCCCCAAUGGGUUAAUACGAGUGAGACAGAGUUGAAUGUUUUAUGAUAAGUCAUUAUUUGUCUAAUGAAGCCAUUAUGCACCUAGUGUUACCAUGUGUAUUGUUUUGAUAUUCCAAGUGCAACCUCUCAAUGUUGUUCUUCCUCAGCAAUGGCAGCUGCAGCUCCACAAACCAUGAUACUUUGCAUUGUUGAUGCUGACCAUACAAGGAAGAUAAACCUCAGCUCCAGUCCAGCAUCUGUUGAUGACUAGAUAAACAAUUUGAAUGCCAAGUUUGCAGUAUGAAGACCCUAACUUUGAUGGACAACUUACCUGCUUGAUGGACAUUGAGAAGUUGCCAAAUAAGGCAACACUGCACCUUUUAGUGCAUCACAUUGGCUGCAUCACAUCUGGCUGUGAUUGGGAGUCCCAUAGGUGAGUCCACAAUUUGCCCAGCGUCAUACAGGUUUGGCCGGGGUAGGCCGUCAUUGUAAAUAAGAAUUUGUUCUUAACUGACUUGUCUAGUUAAAUAAAGGUUACAUUUAAAAAAGUGGAAGGAGGAAAUACAAGUUCUACAGCUGACACAUAAAUACUUUCAGAUGUGUCUUCCCCAGAGCGCCUCAGUAGAUGGCCGCCAGACGGUUUUCCCAUGCCUACUUUUGCAUUAGAGGUAGAGUUGAAGCUUAGAGAAGGAAGUGCUGCCUUUGAAAGGAAUGGAAAUUACUUCAGUUAUCUAGAGACCAAAAACAUGAUAUCUUAGAGAAAGUUGCUUCUACUGUGUACAGUUUCUAGACUUACCCAAUUGACCGAGAGAUAGGAAAGGCAGCUGAAGCUCUUGUAACGAAACACCCCUGUCUGAAAGAGGCAGGAUCUGACACUGGGUGGAAUGGAUGGAAGAACGGCAUCAAAUUUAAGAUGGGUAACUACAGAACCAAGUUGAGGAGAGCAGGAUGUCAGGAGGUUUCCGUAAAACGCAGGAAAAAGAAGCAGAAUCAAUCCAGAGAAUGAACCUUCGCACUCAAACAUAAAGAGACCGGGCAGAAUGUACUUUUCUGCCAAAUUUUCCCCUUGGAGAGGACUCGGAAAGUCUUGAAAUGCUGAGGCAGGAAAUGGUCCAAGAAGUUCAGAAGAGGGAAAGGAACUUACCCCUGAUCGAUAGGAAGAUGCAGACCACAUUUGCCCUGCGGCACCAGGAUAUAGUCAUCGACACGUCACCUGUAAAGGAGAUCCUUGAUCUCUGGCCUGUUCUGCGCAUGGAGUCACAGAUGUAUGCAGAGCGCCAGUGAAUUUUCAAACCAGAACCUGCCAAACAUUUUAUAUGCUGAGAGUGACGACACACCACUCGUUUGAUGACCUUGUAUAGACAAAGGGCAUCAAAGACUGGAAGGACUGCUGACGCUUUGGUUGACAUUCUGAGGUGUCAUGAUCUACAGGAAGUACAUCAUGCCCACACAAGGCGUACAACUGUUAACCGUGCUCUUCCUGUGUUGCUGCGUGAGGAAGUCUCCGGAUUUUUCAAAACAUGCAAGGUGGACGAUUCAGACGAGCCAGAGUUUGGUGACUCACCGGUAGCCCUGCUGACAAUCGUAAAAUCCAGUCCACUGCAAUCCAGUUGAGCUCUCUGUUGUCGAAGGAGAGUGACGUUGUGGUGAUUGACCUCCCUGGACUGCCGGAUGCUUUCCUAGUAAUGUUUGGUCUGACAUAUGCUCUACAUCUCAGUUAUCCGAAAGAACUGUCCAACACCUUCGAGAUCAUUCAGAUAAUCCUGCUAGGUUUAGAAGAAAACUGAAGCCAAGGCUACAGGCUCUGAAGAAUGAUUUGAUGAUACAUGUGUAAGUAAGCAUUGACCAAAUGACUACCACAAGCUGGUAACACUUUGUUUUUAUUCCAACAUAACUAAAUGUGGCUUAAUGUUUUGAGUCUUUUUUUGUAUGACAUUGUGUUUGAUUCUUUAAGAAAUGUUAUGCUGAGCUGCUAGAAUACAGUACAAAAGAUUGUCAGAAUAUUUAGUUUGAAGUCAGAACAGAAAAUCUUACAGGCCACCUACCACAAGUACUUUACAUGAGCAUUUCCCUGAACUAUGCAGGUGGAAUUUGCAUUGAAUUCUAUUGUUGUGACUUUACUUACACUCCAGUCUUCACCUGGACAUUUAUAUUUAUUUUUGUUUCCAUAGUAUUUGGUUUUAAGGUUAAUAUACAUAGUUUUUUUAUAAUCUGUUUUAUCCGCUAAGGCUGACAUCUUUGAGAAAUGAUCCCAUGAUAAUGCUAGAACAGUAUGUUUUAGACUUUGAGCAAGCUGGACACACAACGGUGUAUGUUCCAAUACUUUAGAUUCAAGAACUGUUUCAUAACACUGAUAUUCUAAGCAAAAUCUCAGAACCAAAACCUGAGCCAAGUCACUACACGUCCGUAAAGAGUUUGGCCUGAGAACAAAAGCCAGCCAUGACUUAAUAUAAAAAAUGUUGUGCGAAGUGAUGCUAUUUCCACCCCAUCACAUGUUUUUGAUGAUCUUUUGGAAGCUAUUGUGCCUAUUGAGCUGUCUCAAUUGAUAUUGGAAUUUCAGUUUCUUUAAAUAAUACAUUGUUUUAUAAUCCCAAAAUUACCUCAAUUAUUAUUUGUUGACAUUGUUGAAUUUAUUUUAUAGUUUAAGAAAGGAACCACAAAAGACACUUGCUCUUACCCCCUAAUCAUCAUUACAGUAGCACCUCCACCGGGGUUGGGGUCAAUUCCGUUGCAAUUCAGGAAGUAAACUGAAAUUCCAGUUCUAAUUUCAUCUCAUAGGAGACAAUGAUAAAAAUGUAUCUUGAUAUUGAAAUGAGUUUACUUACUGUAUUGAAAAGGAAUUGACCCCAACCGUGGUGGAGGUGCUACUGUAACGUGUUCUCUUUAAAACCUUUGCAGUAUGUACAGUAGGCUAAAUUGUAGGUCAUGGUGUUUUUUUAGAUCAGCCAUUUUCCUUAAUUUAUUAUUCCCUUGCUCAAAUGCAUUGAGAUUACUUUGUUCAAGCAUGUUGUCCACUGUUUGUUUCGCCACACUUGAAUAGGUCUACCACUGACAAGUUGAUUUUUGGGCUUACAUACUAUACUGCAUGGGGUAAUGUCUCAGUGGAGGUCAGGGUUGGGUCAAUCCCAUUUUCAAUUCAGUCAAUUCAGGAAGUAAACUGAAGUUCAAAUAUUUCCUCAAAGGAGGCAAUGAGGAAAAUAUUAGAAGUUCUGUUUACUUACCAAAUUGACUGAAUUGAAAAUGACUGACCCAAACCUGACCUCCACUGAGACAUUGCCACAUCGACCCCAAUCUGUGCUCUUUAAUUGUGAACCUUUCACUAUGUUCUCUAAUGUGAAGCUUUUACUGGAUUAUCUUUAAAUGUACUCCGGAGUCUUUUCUUCAGGAAAUGUGUUAUUGUUACUGCGACAGUAAAUCGCUGACAAACUGG
Molecule: long non-coding RNA, 4196 nt
Organism: Oncorhynchus tshawytscha (Chinook salmon)
Lineage: Eukaryota; Metazoa; Chordata; Actinopteri; Salmoniformes; Salmonidae
Exons: 5
Source: RefSeq, a predicted model, not a curated record